AAUUCAGAAAGACAUCGUGCUCAGUAUCUCAAUCAAACUUUAUCUCAAGCACCUGUUUCACACAUUGUGAGUCAUCUCUUAUAUUACAUCAUGCAUCAUCUCAACAUCAAUCAAACACCAGAAUCUCAUAAAGCAAUACUCAUCGCACAAAACAACAUAGUUGAAUCAAAGCAGUUCCAUCCAUCCAAGCAGAGCACAAUAAAAAUAAAAAUAAAAUAAAACAAAAAAAAAUUAAAAUUAAAAAGUAAAAGUUCAGAGAACUGGGUUGCCUCCCAACAAGCGCUUCUUUAACGUCACUAGCUUGACCCAAUCUCCACCAUUAUAGCAUCCAUCAGUAGAUGAAGUUAGUAACGUCCAUCAGUAGAUGCCUAAUCACCUAACAUCCUUUAGUAGAUGUCUAGUCACCUUCCUCUUCCAUAGCAACAUCCAUCAGUAGAUGUUGUAGAAGCAUCCAUCAAUUAAUGCUGUCAUUACUGCCAUCAGAAGGAGCAUAUACCUAAAAAAAAAGAACUCAAACACACAAAAACAAACUCAAAUCUAAAUCACACAAAUAAUAAAUUAAAAAGAAAAAAUAAAAUAAAAUAAAACAAAAUAAAAGAAAAAAAAAAUUAGGGACUAGGUUCAAGAUAUUUUUCUCUUUUUGUUGAUUGUUUUUAGGAUUUUAAUAUAAUUAAGAACCUGUUGUAGUGUCCCAAUCAUAGGAACUUUAAUCUCCAAUUUCUUAAAGAUUUUCAUGAAACGCUCAAACUAUUUUUCUUUUUUCUUCCUAUGAUCCUUCUUUGGGUGAGGAAGGGGUUUUUCAUAUGAUUCUUUCUUUUUGCUUUCAUCCUUCCCCUCUCUCUUUUUCUCGUUGGGACACUCCUUAGCGUACAAAGGACUUUUCUCAAUUUUUUUCUUUUCUCUCUCAACCCCUCCUUUUUCUUCCUCUACAUCAUUCUUUUUUUCACUCAGACAUUCUUUUUCUUCUCUCUCUAUUUUUCUCUCAUCCUCUUUCUUUUCUGUGACAACUCAUAGCCCGAUUAGUUGCAAAAUGGUACACUUAGGUUUAUGGCCUUAAUUACUGUGACACUUUCUCUC
Molecule: long non-coding RNA, 1077 nt
Filed under: Vigna radiata
Lineage: Eukaryota; Viridiplantae; Streptophyta; Magnoliopsida; Fabales; Fabaceae
Description: long non-coding RNA (VRAD_LNC017613)
Source: RNAcentral